UACGGAGGGUGCGAGCGUUGUCCGGAAUCAUUGGGCGUAAAGGGCGCGUAGGUGGCCCCUCAAGCGUGCGGUGAAAGUCAGGGGCUCAACCCCUGAUCGGCCGUGCGAACUGGGGAGCUUGAGCACUGUAGAGGCAGGCGGAAUUCCGGGUGUAGCGGUGGAAUGCGUAGAUAUCGGAAGGAACACCUGUGGCGAAAGCGGCUCACUGGACCAUUACUGACGCUGAUGCACGAAAGCUAGGGGAGCAAACAGG
RNAcentral lists this ribosomal RNA (253 nucleotides) under uncultured bacterium. Its description in RNAcentral is "partial 16S ribosomal RNA". It matches the Rfam family "Bacterial small subunit ribosomal RNA", at positions 524 to 776 of the family's 1533-position model. The record is from RNAcentral.